UGGGGAAUAUUGGGCAAUGGACGAAAGUCUGACCCAGCAACGCCGCGUGAAGGAAGAAGGCUUUCGGGUUGUAAACUUCUUUGACAGGGGAAGAGUAGAAGACGGUACCCUGAAAACAAGCCACGGCUAACUACGUGCCAGCAGCCGCGGUAAUACGUAGGUGGCAAGCGUUGUCCGGAUUUACUGGGUGUAAAGGGCGUGUAGCCGGGUCGGUAAGUCAGAUGUGAAAUCUGGAGGCUCAACCUCCAAACUGCAUUUGAAACUGUUGAUCUUGAGUAUCGGAGAGGUAAUCGGAAUUCCUAGUGUAGCGGUGAAAUGCGUAGAUAUUAGGAAGAACACCAGUGGCGAAGGCGGAUUACUGGACGACAACUGACGGUGAGGCGCG
Molecule: ribosomal RNA, 385 nt
Filed under: uncultured bacterium
Lineage: Bacteria
Description: bacterial SSU rRNA
Rfam family: Bacterial small subunit ribosomal RNA
Source: RNAcentral